This 20-nucleotide transfer RNA is filed under the name Urtica incisa. Its description in RNAcentral is "partial tRNA-Ser". The record is from RNAcentral. Lineage: Eukaryota; Viridiplantae; Streptophyta; Magnoliopsida; Rosales; Urticaceae.
AGCCACUCAGCCAUCUCUCC